RNAcentral lists this non-coding RNA (21 nucleotides) under Arabidopsis thaliana (thale cress). Lineage: Eukaryota; Viridiplantae; Streptophyta; Magnoliopsida; Brassicales; Brassicaceae. The record is from RNAcentral.
UGAGAAAGUCGGCCAUUCGGU